This 90-nucleotide non-coding RNA is filed under the name Pseudomonas sp. 29. The record is from RNAcentral. Lineage: Bacteria; Pseudomonadati; Pseudomonadota; Gammaproteobacteria; Pseudomonadales; Pseudomonadaceae.
UGUAGGAGUGAGCCUGCUCGCGAAAGCGCUGGGUCAUUCAGCAUUGAUGUUGGCUGACACUACGCCAUCGCGAGCAGGCUCACUCCUACA